RNAcentral lists this ribosomal RNA (253 nucleotides) under uncultured bacterium. RNAcentral's name for it is "partial 16S ribosomal RNA". It matches the Rfam family "Bacterial small subunit ribosomal RNA", at positions 524 to 776 of the family's 1533-position model. The record is from RNAcentral.
UACGUAGGGACCGAGCGUUGUCCGGAUUUAUUGGGCGUAAAGAGCUCGUAGGCGGCCGUCCACGUCGGAUGUGAAAGCUCGGGGCUCAACCCUGAGAGGUCAUUCGAUACGGGACGGCUUGAGGCAGCUAGGGGAGAUUGGAAUUCCUGGUGUAGCGGUGAAAUGCGCAGAUAUCAGGAGGAACACCGGUGGCGAAGGCGGAUCUCUGGGGCUGUUCUGACGCUGAGGAGCGAAAGCUGGGGGAGCGAACAGG